RNAcentral lists this ribosomal RNA (504 nucleotides) under uncultured bacterium. RNAcentral describes it as "partial 16S ribosomal RNA". It matches the Rfam family "Bacterial small subunit ribosomal RNA", at positions 28 to 507 of the family's 1533-position model. The record is from RNAcentral.
GACGAACGCUGGCGGCGUGCUUAACACAUGCAAGUCGAACGGUGAAGCGCUUGCCUUUUUGGUGGGUGUGGAUGAGUGGCGAACGGGUGAGUAACACGUGAGUAACCUGCCCUCUUCUUCUGGAUAACCUCAUGAAAGUGGGGCUAAUACGGGGUAUUCCGGGUCUGUCGCAUGGCGGGUUUGGGAAAGAUUGCGCCUUUGGGUGUUUUCGGUGGGGGAUGGGCUCGCGGCCUAUCAGCUUGUUGGUGGGGUGAUGGCCUACCAAGGCGGUGACGGGUAGCCGGCCUGAGAGGGUGGACGGCCAGCCUGGGACUGAGACACGGCCCAGACUCCUGCGGGAGGCAGCAGUGGGGAAUAUUGCACAAUGGGCGCAAGCCUGAUGCAGCGACGCCGCGUGAGGGAUGGAGGCCUUCGGGUUGUGAACCUCUUUCGCCAGUGAAGCAGGCCUGCUCCUGUGUGGGUGGGUUGACGGUAGCUGGAUAAGAAGCGCCGGCUAACUACGUG